This 516-nucleotide ribosomal RNA is filed under the name uncultured archaeon. RNAcentral describes it as "bacterial SSU rRNA". It matches the Rfam family "Archaeal small subunit ribosomal RNA", at positions 325 to 847 of the family's 1478-position model. The record is from RNAcentral.
ACGGGGUGCAGCAGGCGCGAAACCUCUACAAUGCGCGAAAGCGUGAUAGGGGGACUCCAAGUGGUCACCUUUGGUGACCUUUUCUCAAGUGUAAAUAGCUUGGGGAAUAAGAGCUGGGCAAGACCCGUGCCAGCCGCCGCGGUAAUACGGGCAGCUCUAGUGGUGUUCGCGAAUACUGGGCCUAAAACGUUCGUAGCCGGUCCGAUAAGUUCUUGGUGAAAUCCGCCCGCUUAACGGUCGGAACUGCCAAGGAAACUAUUGGACUUGGAGCCGGGAUAGGUAGGAGGAAUGUCCAGGGUAGGAGCGAAAUCCUGUAAUCCUGUACAGACCAUCGGUGGCGAAGGCGUCCUACUGGAACGGACUCGACGGUGAGGAACGAAAGCUAGGGGGGCGACCCGGAUUAGAUACCCGGUUAGUCCUAGCCGUAAAUGAUGCAAGUUUGGUGUCGCGCUACUUACGAGGUAGUGCGGUGCCGUAGGGAAGCCGUAAACUUGCUGCCUGGAAGUACGCCGCAAG